UACGGAGGGUGCGAGCGUUAAUCGGAAUUACUGGGCGUAAAGCGCGCGUAGGCGGUUUGUUAAGUCAGCUGUGAAAGCCCCGGGCUUAACCUGGGAACUGCAGUUGAUACUGGCCGACUAGGGUACGAGAGAGGGAGGUAGAAUUCCAUGUGUAGCGGUGAAAUGCGUAGAUAUAUGGAGGAAUACCGGUGGCGAAGGCGGCCUCCUGGCUCGAUACUGACGCUGAGGUGCGAAAGCGUGGGGAUCAAACAGG
Molecule: ribosomal RNA, 253 nt
Filed under: uncultured bacterium
Lineage: Bacteria
Description: partial 16S ribosomal RNA
Rfam family: Bacterial small subunit ribosomal RNA
Source: RNAcentral